CACCCAGAGCCGGCGGGCCGCUAGGUCCCCGGAGACCCUGCUAUGGUGCGUGCGGGCGCCGUGGGGGCUCAUCUCCCCGCGUCCGGCUUGGAUAUCUUCGGGGACCUGAAGAAGAUGAACAAGCGCCAGGUGACGGAGGAGGGUUUUAAACUUCGCCAUGAUCGUGUCUUCUGCACUCAUGAUAUGGAAAGGCUUGAUCGUGCUCACAGGCAGUGAGAGCCCCAUCGUGGUGGUGCUGAGGUAGCCGGCCUUUCACAGAGGAGACCUCCUGUUCCUCACAAAUUUCCGGGAAGACCCAAUCAGAGCUGGUGAAAUAGUUGUUUUUAAAGUUGAAGGACGAGACAUUCCAAUAGUUCACAGAGUAAUCAAAGUUCAUGAAAAAGAUAAUGGAGACAUCAAAUUUCUGACUAAAGGAGAUAAUAAUGAAGUUGAUGAUAGAGGCUUGUACAAAGAAGGCCAGAACUGGCUGGAAAAGAAGGACGUGGUGGGAAGAGCAAGAGGGUUUUUACCAUAUGUUGGUAUGGUCACCAUAAUAAUGAAUGACUAUCCAAAAUUCAAGUAUGCUCUUUUGGCUGUAAUGGGUGCAUAUGUGUUACUAAAACGUGAAUCCUAAAAUGAGAAGCAGUUCCUGGGACCAGAUUGAAAUGAAUUCUGUUGAAAAAGAGAAAAACUAAUAUAUUUGAGAUGUUCCAUUUUCUGUAUAAAAGGGAACAGUGUGGAGAUGUUUUUGUCUUGUCCAAAUAAAAGAUUCAC
RNAcentral lists this long non-coding RNA (753 nucleotides) under Homo sapiens (human). Its description in RNAcentral is "long non-coding RNA NONHSAT177874.1". Lineage: Eukaryota; Metazoa; Chordata; Mammalia; Primates; Hominidae. The record is from RNAcentral.